GACGAACGCUGGCGGCGUGCUUAACACAUGCAAGUCGAACGGAAAGGCCCUGCUUUUGUGGGGUGCUCGAGUGGCGAACGGGUGAGUAGCACGUGAGUAACCUGCCCUUGACUUUGGGAUAACUUCAGAAAACUGGGGCUAAUACCGGAUAGGAGCUCCUGCUGCAUGGUGGGGGUUGGAAAGUUUCGGCGGUUGGGGAUGGACUCGCGGCUUAUCAGCUUGUUGGUGGGGUAGUGGCUUACCAAGGCUUUGACGGGUAGCCGGCCUGAGAGGGUGACCGGCCACAUUGGGACUGAGAUACGGCCCAGACUCCUACGGGAGGCAGCAGUGGGGAAUAUUGCACAAUGGGCGGAAGCCUGAUGCAGCAACGCCGCGUGCGGGAUGACGGCCUUCGGGUUGUAAACCGCUUUCGCCUGUGACGAAGCGUGAGUGACGGUAAUGGGUAAAGAAGCACCGGCUAACUACGUGCCAGCAGCCGCGGUGAUACGUAGGGUACGAGCGUUGUCCGGAUUUAUUGGGCGUAAAGGGCUCGUAGGUGGUUGAUCGCGUCGGAAGUGUAAUCUUGGGGCUUAACCCUGAGCGUGCUUUCGAUACGGGUUGACUUGAGGAAGGUAGGGGAGAAUGGAAUUCCUGGUGGAGCGGUGGAAUGCGCAGAUAUCAGGAGGAACACCAGUGGCGAAGGCGGUUCUCUGGGCCUUUCCUGACGCUGAGGAGCGAAAGCGUGGGGAGCGAACAGGCUUAGAUACCCUGGUAGUCCACGCUGUAAACGGUGGGUACUAGGUGUGGGGUCCAUUCCACGGGUUCCGUGCCGUAGCUAACGCUUUAAGUACCCCGCCUGGGGAGUACGGCCGCAAGGCUAAAACUCAAAGGAAUUGACGGGGCCCCGCACAAGCGGCGGAGCAUGCGGAUUAAUUCGAUGCAACGCGUAGAACCUUACCUGGGUUUGACAUGGAUCGGGAGUGCUCAGAGAUGGGUGUGCCUCUUUUGGGGUCGGUUCACAGGUGGUGCAUGGCUGUCGUCAGCUCGUGUCGUGAGAUGUUGGGUUAAGUCCCGCAACGAGCGCAACCCUUGUUCACUGUUGCCAGCACGUUAUGGUGGGGACUCAGUGGAGACCGCCGGGGUCAACUCGGAGGAAGGUGGGGAUGUCGUCAAGUCAUCAUGCCCCUUAUGUCCAGGGCUUCACGCAUGCUACAAUGGCUGGUACAGAGAGUGGCGAGCCUGUGAGGGUGAGCGAAUCUCGGAAAGCCGGUCUCAGUUCGGAUUGGGGUCUGCAACUCGACCUCAUGAAGUCGGAGUCGCUAGUAAUCGCAGAUCAGCAACGCUGCGGUGAAUACGUUCCCGGGGCU
Molecule: ribosomal RNA, 1346 nt
Filed under: uncultured bacterium
Lineage: Bacteria
Description: bacterial SSU rRNA
Rfam family: Bacterial small subunit ribosomal RNA
Source: RNAcentral